GUCCCCGCUCCGCUGCUUACCUGCUGUGUGACUCUGGGAUUGUAGAGAAUUCCUGGACCACAACCUGGAGGAAUCUGCCAUUUAAGAGAGGAUGACAAGACAGACCAAAUGAUGUAAACAUAAAUAAACAUUCAAAGCAGGAUAAAUAUCGGGGCAGAUCUGA
Long non-coding RNA from Ornithorhynchus anatinus (platypus), 163 nucleotides. RefSeq lists it as uncharacterized. The record is from RefSeq and is a predicted model, not a curated record. Lineage: Eukaryota; Metazoa; Chordata; Mammalia; Monotremata; Ornithorhynchidae. The transcript has 2 exons.